Ameiurus melas (black bullhead) is the source of this 73-nucleotide non-coding RNA. The record is from the annotation of a GenBank genome assembly. NCBI's taxonomy places the organism in Eukaryota, Metazoa, Chordata, Actinopteri, Siluriformes, Ictaluridae.
GGCAUGGUGGCUAAAUGGUUAGCGCGUUUGCCUCACACCUCCAGAGUUGGGGGUCCGAAUCCCGCCUCUUCCU